AGAGUUUGAUCCUGGCUCAGAACGAACGCUGGCGGCAUGCCUAACACAUGCAAGUCGAACGGGAUCCGAGCUUCGGUUCGGUGAGAGUGGCGAACGGGUGAGUAACGCGUGGGAACCUGCCCAGAGGUACGGAAUAACAGUUGGAAACGACUGCUAAUACCGUAUGAGCCCGAGAGGGGAAAGAUUUAUCGCCUUUGGAGGGGCCCGCGUCAGAUUAGGUAGUUGGUGGGGUAAAGGCCUACCAAGCCUACGAUCUGUAGCUGGUCUUAGAGGAUGAUCAGCCACACUGGGACUGAGAUACGGCCCAGACUCCUACGGGAGGCAGCAGUGGGGAAUAUUGGACAAUGGGGGCAACCCUGAUCCAGCAAUGCCGCGUGAGUGAUGAAGGCCUUCGGGUUGUAAAGCUCUUUUGCCAGGGACGAUGAUGACGGUACCUGGAGAAUAAGCCCCGGCUAACUUCGUGCCAGCAGCCGCGGUAAUACGAAGGGGGCUAGCGUUGUUCGGAAUUACUGGGCGUAAAGGGCGCGUAGGCGGUUUGAUUAGUCAGAUGUGAAAUUCCCGGGCUUAACCUGGGCGCUGCAUUUGAUACUGUCAGGCUUGAAUUCGGGAGAGGAUAGCGGAAUUCCCAGUGUAGAGGUGAAAUUCGUAGAUAUUGGGAAGAACACCGGUGGCGAAGGCGGCUAUCUGGACCGACAUUGACGCUGAGGCGCGAAAGCGUGGGGAGCAAACAGGAUUAGAUACCCCCGUAGUCC
RNAcentral lists this ribosomal RNA (752 nucleotides) under uncultured bacterium. RNAcentral's name for it is "bacterial SSU rRNA". It matches the Rfam family "Bacterial small subunit ribosomal RNA", at positions 8 to 796 of the family's 1533-position model. The record is from RNAcentral.